Molecule: long non-coding RNA, 3045 nt
Filed under: Mus pahari (shrew mouse)
Lineage: Eukaryota; Metazoa; Chordata; Mammalia; Rodentia; Muridae
Description: lncRNA (MGP_PahariEiJ_G0004647.1)
Source: RNAcentral
GGAACUCGGCCCCGGCUGUUCUCCCGGCCGGGAGGCAACAGCGCCCCGGGACCCCCCUAGUUCGCACUACCCAUUCAAGUUCUCGGGGCCCUGCGCCCGAUUCGGAGGUGGCGCCCGCCGCCCGCCCUGCCUCUGUGCCCCCGUUUCCAGUCACCGCGCGGAAAUUUAGGUCAAGGACGCCGGGAGCACACCCACACCCUGCGCUCCCAGGGCAGUCCUCGAGAUCCUCGGGAUCUCGGGAGCUUGCGGAUGGAGGAGACCCUCCUGCACAAACAUCAGCCACAAGUUUUAUUUUCCCUUCGCGCGGCAAGUUCUCUGGCUCCCGCUCCACACUGGCACGUCCUGCACGGCUCCCCGCCCUUCCCCGGCAGAGAAUUAGGAGACAAUGGAAUUCACUCAUCACCAAAACUGUGCCGUGUCCAUUGUGGCUUUUGGAGACAUUUGGAAAAUCUUGAGUGGUCAGACUGUCAAUCUUCUCUGUCCCCUAAACUGAGAUAAUGCCUCUCUGACAGCAUCGAUGGGCGGAGCAUUUGUAGUGAACAAUGUAACAAUGUCAAAGUCCCUCUUUAAAAUUGCGAACUUACAUGGGCUGUGUUUAUUAUGAAUUGUGAAUAUGAUUUUUAGAAGGCACUUCAUAAGACUUCAGACCACAAACCCUGCUGUUUCCCAACACUCCAAACAAGCUGAUUUUUGAAUCAUCUGGGUCCCCAUGUGUUAAAGAGCUGCAUGUUUUUAUGAUGGUAAUUGUUUUUUUGCGAUUAUUCUCAAUCACAAAGUACAGGCAACACAGCUAAUUGGAUUAUAUUUUGGAUUUUUACCGCAGAACCACAGACCAUCAGAGUUAGAAAGGCCUUUCUUUACCCAGCUCCUUCCUUGAAUAUAGGAGUCCCAAAGGUGCCAGGCUGUCAAGCCACCUUCCCACCCCAACCAGUUAAUACCUAAGAGGGGCUCUGGCCAUGGUCCAGUGCCCUUUGACUCUGUAGUGUGCUGUUCCUCACUAGGCAGAAGUCAGUGGCUACCUUCCUGAUAUCGACUUGAACAGACUCUUAAGUGGUGAGCCGAGAGGAGACCUGAUGGGCCGGGGCCCCAAGCUCUGCAGUGUCCAAGCCAGAGACUGAUAAAGGACUAAAGGAGAAAGCUACGUCUCUCCACUGUUUUUACUAAGGUUGGUAUUGUUGGAGUUGGAGUCUUGCAAUGCAAGAACCCAGACAGGCCUUGAACUGGAGAGAUCAUCCUGACAAUGGCCACCCCACCCCACCACCGCCAAGUUUUAUUUUCCCUUCUCAGAUUAUGUUGUUUUGUCGAGAUGGUGUCUCAUGCGGCCCAGGCUGAUGGCAAACUCCAUAGAUUUCGGAGGAUGGCCUUGAACUUCUGAUAUUCUUGCCUCUGCUGUUGCGAUUGUAGCUUUGUGCCACCACCGUGCCAGGUGUGCAGUGCUGGAGAUCAAACCCAAGGCUCUACACUUGCUAGAGGGAAGCUUCCACCAACCGAGCUACACACCCGGCCUUCAGGAGGUGUUUUUGCUUGUCCCAUCGCACCGCCCCCAACACACCCCUAGGUGCCAACACUUUGCUACAGGCCUUCUUUCCCCGCUCCCUGAUUCUGAGAUUUGACCAUUGUACAGAUUGUAGGGUGACCAUCAAGAUAAGCGUGUGGGACUGUUUCAUUGUCCAAAGCAAACAUGUAACAUCACACUGCCUUGAGGACUCACCCCCACCCCCACCCUGUUCUGCCCUUGCCCACACUCUCCAGGGUUCUCGGGUCCCUGGGCACUGUUCCUUUUCAGUCUCUGGGUCCUCUCUGCGUCUCUACUUUUCCUUUAAACAUUGGUGUGCUUCCUCAGCCUGAUGCUCUCCUCCGACUACCCCCUCUCUGGAUGACCUUCCUAGCAGGAUGGGUUUAAAUACCACCUACAUGCUGAUGCCGCUCCAGAUCUCCUCCGGCCCUGACCUUGCCAGCGUUCCAGGCUCUACACAGUAUCCUUUUCUCUACGCAUCUCCACUUACCUUUCCUAGAGGUAUUCCGGACGCAAUACCACCAAAGCCACAUACGUACUACUACUGUCCCCUACAUUUGAACCUCUUUUUGGAAUCUUCCUCAGUGAAUAGCCUCAGCCAGCCUGGAGACAACAUGGUUGAACUCUGCCCUUACCAUGUGCAGCUCUGUAGCAUCCACCUUGUAAAUUCCGCUCAAAUCUGUCUUUCUUCUUAUUAUUAGUUAUUACUUAAAUUUUAAAAGUUUUAUUUCCGUGGUCUGUGUGUGCCUGUGUGAUCAUAGGACAGCUUUCAAAAGGCUGUUCUCUCUUUCUCCUAGAUUGUAGAGGUUGAAAUUUAGAUGGUCAGGGUCAGGCUUCCUCAGCAAAAAUGUAUACCCAAUGUAGCAUCAAAGCCAUCUCUCCUGCUACAGUAUAUCGGACCUCUUGCAGAAGCCCUGGGAUUGUCUCCCACAGCUGCCCAUGAGGACUCUUAGUCCCUUUAUAUGCCUGGGAAGCUUUCCCACACUUCUCUAACCAGGUCAGAUGGCUCUUGAUAGACACUUAACCCUACUGGAAGGUCCUCCGUGUACCUUACCUUGUGUGAUCAUUUGCUUUAUCAUCCGUCACUGCCAAGCCGCGAGCUCCCAUUCUGUUUUGCUCUCCUUGUACCAGUACAGUACCUGCUAGUUCAUGGCUGACAAUAAAUAAUUCUGGUGGGGGACAGAUUGAUAAAUGAGUGAAUGUUGCUGUCCAGUUUCACCCUAGGAUCUGUUUUGUGUAGUCGUGUGCAGAAGUCAAACUGGCUGCAGUUUCCUCCUAAGGUUGUCCCUUUAUAUUGGUCUCCUAACAUAGUAAAUGUUGCUUGCAUUCUUCUUUCUUUUUCUUUUCUUUUCUUUUUUUCCACUCCCACUUUCUGGAACAGUAUGUUAAAGACUGGAAUUAGGCCUGGCCUGAUGAUACACACCAGCAAUUGGGAGGCAGAGGCAGGAGGGUCACUGUAAGUUCAGGGUUAGUCUUGUCUGCCUAGUAAGUCCCAGAGCAGACAAGAAUACAUAAUAAAACCCUGUCUC